RNAcentral lists this small RNA (642 nucleotides) under uncultured fungus. RNAcentral describes it as "eukaryotic LSU rRNA". The stretch from base 219 to 372 matches the Rfam family "5.8S ribosomal RNA". Lineage: Eukaryota; Fungi. The record is from RNAcentral.
GGAUCAUUAUUGAAUAGUAUUGAGCGCUGUGCUGGCCUUUCGGGGUAUGUGCACGCGUUUGAAACAUUUUAUCUUUUGUGCACCUAGUGUGGGCUUUUGAGGUUGAGAAGCAGUCUUUUUAGACUGUGGAUUGGCUUCAGAAGACCAUUUUUAUAUCCUUUAAACAAGUUAAUAGAAAGUCUCUUUACUUGACGCAAGUCAGUAGAUAAAACAAAUACAACUUUCAGCAACGGAUCUCUUGGCUCUCCCAUCGAUGAAGAACGCAGCGAAAUGCGAUAAGUAAUGUGAAUUGCAGAAUUCAGUGAAUCAUCGAAUCUUUGAACGCACCUUGCGCCCUUUGGUAUUCCGAAGGGCAUGCCUGUUUGAGUGUUAUUAAAUUCUCAACCUUUUGAACGCUUUACUGCGCUCACUAGGCUUGGAUGUGAGGGUUUUGCUGGCUUCCUUCAGUGGCGGUCUGCUCCCUUUAAAUGCAUUAGUGGGAUCCUUUGUGGAUCGGUCACUUGGUGUGAUAAUAUAUCUACGCCGCUUGUACUGUGAAGCAAAACUUAUGGGAACCUGCUUAUAACCGUCUAUUGCAAUAGACAACUUUUGAACUUUUAACCUCAAAUCAGGUAGGACUACCCGCUGAACUUAAGCAUAUCA